AGCGAACGCUGGCGGUGGGCCUAACACAUGCAAGUCGAACGGCAGCACCGUAAGUGCUUGCGCUUACGGGUGGCGAGUGGCGGACGGGAGAGGAAUACAUCCGAACCUACUUUUUCGUGGAGGAUAACGUAGGUAAACUUACGCUAAUACCGCAUACGACCUACGAGUGAAAGCAGGGGAUCUUCGGGCCUUGCGCGAUUGAAUGAGCCGAUGUCGGGUUAGUUAGUUGGCGGGGUAAAGGCCCACCAAGGCGACGAUCCGUAGCUGGUCUGAGAGGAUGGUCAGCCACAGAGGAACUGAGACACGGUACAGAGUCCUACAGAAGGCCGAGGUGGGGAAUAUUGGAAGAUGUGCGGAAGCCUGCACCAGGCACAGCGCGUGGGUGAAGCAGGCCUGCGGGUUGUAAAGCCGUUUUGUUGGGAAAGAAAAGCAGCAGGUUAAUAGCCCGCUGUUCUGACGGUACCCGAAGAGUAAGCACCGGCUAACUUGGU
RNAcentral lists this ribosomal RNA (491 nucleotides) under uncultured bacterium. RNAcentral's name for it is "partial 16S ribosomal RNA". It matches the Rfam family "Bacterial small subunit ribosomal RNA", at positions 29 to 506 of the family's 1533-position model. The record is from RNAcentral.